CUAGAAGCGGCGGCGCAAGCAGUUCUCCUAUCUGUGAGUGGGCGUUUGGGUGCAGGCGGUUCAUGCGUCGGGGCGAGGGUGCCAUGGAGGGGGGCGCCUCGUCGACGUGCCCGGCCGUCGUUCGUCGCCGGGAACGCAGUGUGGCCCGUUGGUUGACCUGGCCGUCUGUGAUUCAUUCGCGUGGCCUGGCACUGUUCGGCGGCGUGGGUCGUGGUGGGUGGGUCGUCUCCCUUAUCCUGCAUCGCCGCCUGCCUCUUCUCCUCCCUCUUCCUUUCGUUUCGUUUCGGUGCUCGCGCCUCUUCAUGCUCCUGCUCUUUGGUUCGCGAGUCGUCGCUAGGGUUGGUUGCCGAGGGGCUCCAAUGGCGUCGCACCGCGGUGACGCCGGUUAAGCUUCCGUUGUUCUCCUCUUCGCUAGGCUUGGAUCUGCUGCGCCGCUCGUCGAUCUGUGGCUGCUCCUGCCUGGUGUCCUCGCAUGUUCGUCGUCGUGUACGUGUUGGUCUUCGCGUCUUGCUCCAAGGAUCUGCAGGUUGUUUCAGUUUAUAGGUUAUUUCUCUGAGCCGGCCGUGUUGCUAGGCCCUGCUGUCUGGUGGUGCUGUUUUUUGCUGUACAUGGUUAUCUUCAGAGCUACAGCUUGGAUCCGUACGUGGUCCUUACUCACUCCUAUGGACUCCAGGGAGCCUUUGGUUACUGGGUGCAACCAAUGGGAGAUGGUGGCUCGGGUUAUAUUCAACCGGUUCGGAUGGCGUUCGCAUAACAGGAUAGGAGUCCAGAGAGCUUAUCCUUAUUAUUACCGUUCCAGGAGAAUCUGCCUAAAAGUUUUGUCUAUUGAGCAUCUCUGUACCUGAUUACUCAAAAGAGGUUAACCCAUGUUGUGCUGUUGUCUGUUAAACAAAAAAACUGAUGAAAUAUAUUUGCCCUUUCAAAUCCAUUUGGUCAGCUGAAUUUAUUAUGCUUUUCUGAAGUGACUGCUUUGUGUACCGGCUAUUGGUCGUUUUGAUAUUUCUGCACACUUUCUGCAUGUUUGCUAUUCUCAUCGUUCAUUAUUUAAAUUACUCAUAAGCCUCUUACAAGUACUAUGGAUUAUUAUUAUUGCUAGGAUAAGCAUUGCCACCAAUGCAAGAAAACAAGAUUUCCUUUUGCAUAUUCCUUGCUAUCUUAGAUUGUAAUGUUUAACACAAUUCCGGCUUAUAAUGCUGCUGAUGUCCAGUUGUUAGAAUUUAGAUAUGACCAUUCCUAUAUCUCAAGCUAUCUGAAAUUAUAAGUUUUGACAUAUUUUCAGUUUGGUGCUGUUGUUUAAUAACUGGUCCUUACAAUUAUAGUUGGCCAAAAUUAUUGAACUCUUAGGCAAAUUACUAAAACAAUAUGUUGUGCGCAUUAUUUUUGAACGAGCUUAUGAUGGAUCCUUAUCCACAGGGCAAACUCCUGAGAAUUUAUCCAUUCUGGAAGGUUCUUUGCUCGGAGCUCUUAAACUUAUUAUGCUGAUAGGUCUCGUGAUCAUUUCUUUUGGUCCAAGUUAUUCAUACACCCUUCUGAAUCUACUAUAUGGAGGAAGAUAUAGUGAUGGCGAAGCUACAGCUGUCCUCCGUUACUAUUGUGUUUACAUAAUCUUCUUAGCAAUGAAUGGCAUGUCUGAAGCUUUCCUUCAUUCUGUUGCAAAUGAAAAGCAGCUUAAGCAGUCAAAUGAUAUAUUGCUCCUCUUCUCAGCAAUUUAUAUUGUUCUAAAUGUUACUUUUAUUAAAUCUGCCGGAGCUAUUGGGUUGAUUGCUGCAAAUUCUGUCAAUAUGCUACUGCGAAUCUCAUAUUCUGCAAUAUUCAUCGAAGAGUAUUUUAAGGGCUCAUUCUCCUUUCGCCACUGCUUGCCAGCGGGCUGGGGCGUUCUGCUCAUUUCUGGUGCGACCACAGCUUUCUCCGAGAGGGUGUUUCUGAAUAGAAAUAGGUUCAAGCAGACCCUUCCCAUUCACAUGGCGAUAGGCAUCAUGUGCCUGAUCUUCUCAUUGCUUGAGAUAUACCAUGGCGAAAAGCAGUUCUUGAUGAGCAUCAUCAAAUCGUUGAAGGGUCACGACAAACACACAUGAUUUUUAUAUAUCCGGGGCAAGUGGAUUUACCCCAGAUAUUACUGAUAUUGCCAUACAACAAAAGCGUUGUAAAUACAUGUACACUGGCUAGAGUACCAAAGAAAGGAGCUGGACCCAGCAGUUGGAGAGGCUUCUUAAAGAACAUAUCAAACUGUCCGAAAUCAUAGAUCGCCGCUCUGCAGUGAAUUGAAUUGCUGGGACAAGUUAUAGAAGCGACAUAAAGCAUAGAUCAUGUGGGUAGAUAGGUAGUAUAUUCUGUAACUUCUCCACAUCAGACUUAUUAAGGUUAAAUUGCAGCAUGGUUGUCAGAAUUUACCAUGUUGUGCCAUUCAGGUUUUGUUACCUGAGAUUCGGUGCAGAACUUUACAAAAUUCCUUAACAGCUCGUUUGGCGCC
RNAcentral lists this ribosomal RNA (2470 nucleotides) under Triticum aestivum (bread wheat). RNAcentral describes it as "partial small subunit ribosomal RNA". The record is from RNAcentral. Lineage: Eukaryota; Viridiplantae; Streptophyta; Magnoliopsida; Poales; Poaceae.